Molecule: ribosomal RNA, 542 nt
Filed under: uncultured bacterium
Lineage: Bacteria
Description: partial 16S ribosomal RNA
Rfam family: Bacterial small subunit ribosomal RNA
Source: RNAcentral
UGGGGAAUAUUGCACAAUGGGCGGAAGCCUGAUGCAGCAAUGCCGCGUGCGUGAAGAGGGCCUUCGGGUUGUAAAGCACUUUUGUCCGGAAAGAAAUCCUUGGCUCUAAUACAGUCGGGGGAUGACGGUACCGGAAGAAUAAGCACCGGCUAACUACGUGCCAGCAGCCGCGGUAAUACGUAGGGUGCAAGCGUUAAUCGGAAUUACUGGGCGUAAAGCGUGCGCAGGCGGUUUGCUAAGACCGAUGUGAAAUCCCCGGGCUCAACCUGGGAACUGCAUUGGUGACUGGCAGGCUAGAGUAUGGCAGAGGGGGGUAGAAUUCCACGUGUAGCAGUGAAAUGCGUAGAGAUGUGGAGGAAUACCGAUGGCGAAGGCAGCCCCCUGGGCCAAUACUGACGCUCAUGCACGAAAGCGUGGGGAGCAAACAGGAUUAGAUACCCUGGUAGUCCACGCCCUAAACGAUGUCAACUAGUUGUUGGGAUUCAUUUCCUUAGUAACGUAGCUAACGCGUGAAGUUGACCGCCUGGGGAGUACGGUCGCAA